RNAcentral lists this ribosomal RNA (254 nucleotides) under uncultured Pseudomonas sp. RNAcentral describes it as "partial 16S ribosomal RNA". It matches the Rfam family "Bacterial small subunit ribosomal RNA", at positions 99 to 355 of the family's 1533-position model. Lineage: Bacteria; Pseudomonadati; Pseudomonadota; Gammaproteobacteria; Pseudomonadales; Pseudomonadaceae. The record is from RNAcentral.
CGGACGGGUGAGUAAUGCCUAGGAAUCUGCCUGGUAGUGGGGGACAACGCUUCGAAAGGAACGCUAAUACCGCAUACGUCCUACGGGAGAAAGCAGGGGACCUUCGGGCCUUGCGCUAUCAGAUGAGCCUAGGUCGGAUUAGCUAGUUGGUGAGGUAAUGGCUCACCAAGGCGACGAUCCGUAACUGGUCUGAGAGGAUGAUCAGUCACACUGGAACUGAGACACGGUCCAGACUCCUACGGGAGGCAGCAGCC